Molecule: ribosomal RNA, 1254 nt
Filed under: Automate sp. HDB-2008
Lineage: Eukaryota; Metazoa; Arthropoda; Malacostraca; Decapoda; Alpheidae
Description: SSU rRNA
Rfam family: Eukaryotic small subunit ribosomal RNA
Source: RNAcentral
UUAAGUUGUUGCGGUUAAAAGCUCGUAGUUCGAGCUCUGUUCCGGACUGGCUGGGGAGGUCACCGCCCGGUGCUUGCCCGUCAGGUUCCGAACAGCUUCUGCGACUAGAAGCCAAGCCGGUUUGGCCGGGGUGCUCUUCACCGAGUGUCCCGCGCGGCCGGCCAGUUCACCUUGAACAAAUGANAGUGCUCAAAGCAGGCUACUCUUCAAAAUAAAGCCCGAAUGUUACCUGCAUGGAAUGAUGGAAGAUGAUCUCGGUUCCAUUUUGCUGGCUCUGGGAAUCCGAGUUAAUGAUAAACAGGGACUGUCGGGGGCAUCCGUACUACGACGCGAGAGGUGAAAUUCAGUGACCGUCGUAGGACGAACAACAGCGAAAGCAUUUGCCAAGAAUGUCUUCGUUGAUCAAGAACGAAAGUCAGAGGAUCGAAGGCGAUCAGAUACCGCCCUAGUUCUGACCCUAAACGAUGCUGACUAGCAAUUCGCCGUCGUUAUUCCCAUGACGUGGCGAGACGCCCCCGGGAAACCUCAAGUCUUUGAGUUCCGGGGGUAGUAUGGUUGCAAAACUGAAACUUAAAGGAAUUGACGGAAGGGCACCACCAGGAGUGGAGCCUGCGGCUUAAUUUGACUCAACACGGGAAACCUCACCAGGCCCGGACACCAGCAGGAUUGACAGAUUAAGAGCUCUUUCUCGAUUUGGUGGGUGGUGGUGCAUGGCCGUUCUUAGUUGGUGGAGUGAUUUGUCUGGUUAAUUCCGGUAACGAACGAGACUCUGGCCUACUAACUAGUCGACGCGGGUUUUGGUGCAUGGGCCCCGUUCGACAAUGUCUUCUUAGAGGGAUGAGCAGCGAGUAUAGCUGCAGGAGAUUGAGCAAUAACAGGUCUGUGAUGCCCUUAGAUGUCCUGGGCCGCACGCGCGCUACACUGAAUGGGUUAGCGGGUUCUCCUUCUCCGAGAGGAGCGGGAAAUCGCGUGAAAACCAUUCGUGAUAGGGAUUGGGGCUUGCAAUUGUUUCCCAUGAACGAGGAAUUCCCAGUAAGCGCAAGUCAUCAGCUUGCGUUGAUUAAGUCCCUGCCCUUUGUACACACCGCCCGUCGCUACUACCGAUUGAAUGAUUUAGUGAGGCCUUCGGACUGGCGGUCUUGGACUGGGCCUCCUCCGUCACUCCUUUUGGGGCCGGGGGACCCGCCAUGACGAGCCGGAAAGAUGUCCAAACUUGAUCAUUUAGAGGAAGUAAAGUCGUAACAAGGUUUCCGU